This 534-nucleotide ribosomal RNA is filed under the name Enterobacter hormaechei. Its description in RNAcentral is "bacterial SSU rRNA". It matches the Rfam family "Bacterial small subunit ribosomal RNA", at positions 999 to 1533 of the family's 1533-position model. RNAcentral also lists the same sequence under 3 other names. The record is from RNAcentral. Lineage: Bacteria; Pseudomonadati; Pseudomonadota; Gammaproteobacteria; Enterobacterales; Enterobacteriaceae.
AGCAGAGAUGCUUUGGUGCCUUCGGGAACUCUGAGACAGGUGCUGCAUGGCUGUCGUCAGCUCGUGUUGUGAAAUGUUGGGUUAAGUCCCGCAACGAGCGCAACCCUUAUCCUUUGUUGCCAGCGGUCCGGCCGGGAACUCAAAGGAGACUGCCAGUGAUAAACUGGAGGAAGGUGGGGAUGACGUCAAGUCAUCAUGGCCCUUACGAGUAGGGCUACACACGUGCUACAAUGGCGCAUACAAAGAGAAGCGACCUCGCGAGAGCAAGCGGACCUCAUAAAGUGCGUCGUAGUCCGGAUUGGAGUCUGCAACUCGACUCCAUGAAGUCGGAAUCGCUAGUAAUCGUGGAUCAGAAUGCCACGGUGAAUACGUUCCCGGGCCUUGUACACACCGCCCGUCACACCAUGGGAGUGGGUUGCAAAAGAAGUAGGUAGCUUAACCUUCGGGAGGGCGCUUACCACUUUGUGAUUCAUGACUGGGGUGAAGUCGUAACAAGGUAACCGUAGGGGAACCUGCGGUUGGAUCACCUCCUUA